Molecule: ribosomal RNA, 2928 nt
Filed under: Salmonella enterica subsp. enterica serovar Enteritidis str. EC20120469
Lineage: Bacteria; Pseudomonadati; Pseudomonadota; Gammaproteobacteria; Enterobacterales; Enterobacteriaceae
Description: bacterial LSU rRNA
Rfam family: Bacterial large subunit ribosomal RNA
Source: RNAcentral
GGGUUGUGAGGUUAAGCGACUAAGCGUACACGGUGGAUGCCCUGGCAGUCAGAGGCGAUGAAGGGCGUGCUAAUCUGCGAUAAGCGCCGGUAAGGUGAUAUGAACCGUUAUAACCGGCGAUACCCGAAUGGGGAAACCCAGUGUGAUUCGUCACACUAUCAUUAACUGAAUCCAUAGGUUAAUGAGGCGAACCGGGGGAACUGAAACAUCUAAGUACCCCGAGGAAAAGAAAUCAACCGAGAUUCCCCCAGUAGCGGCGAGCGAACGGGGAGGAGCCCAGAGCCUGAAUCAGCAUGUGUGUUAGUGGAAGCGUCUGGAAAGGCGCGCGAUACAGGGUGACAGCCCCGUACACAAAAGCGCAUGUGCUGUGAGCUCGAUGAGUAGGGCGGGACACGUGGUAUCCUGUCUGAAUAUGGGGGGACCAUCCUCCAAGGCUAAAUACUCCUGACUGACCGAUAGUGAACCAGUACCGUGAGGGAAAGGCGAAAAGAACCCCGGCGAGGGGAGUGAAAAAGAACCUGAAACCGUGUACGUACAAGCAGUGGGAGCACNNNNNNNNNNNNNNNNNUGCGUACCUUUUGUAUAAUGGGUCAGCGACUUAUAUUCUGUAGCAAGGUUAACCGAAUAGGGGAGCCGGAGGGAAACCGAGUCUUAAUUGGGCGUUAAGUUGCAGGGUAUAGACCCGAAACCCGGUGAUCUAGCCAUGGGCAGGUUGAAGGUUGGGUAACACUAACUGGAGGACCGAACCGACUAAUGUUGAAAAAUUAGCGGAUGACCUGUGGCUGGGGGUGAAAGGCCAAUCAAACCGGGAGAUAGCUGGUUCUCCCCGAAAGCUAUUUAGGUAGCGCCUCGUGAAUUCAUCUCCGGGGGUAGAGCACUGUUUCGGCUAGGGGGCCAUCCCGGCUUACCAACCCGAUGCAAACUGCGAAUACCGGAGAAUGUUAUCACGGGAGACACACGGCGGGUGCUAACGUCCGUCGUGAAGAGGGAAACAACCCAGACCGCCAGCUAAGGUCCCAAAGUCAUGGUUAAGUGGGAAACGAUGUGGGAAGGCCCAGACAGCCAGGAUGUUGGCUUAGAAGCAGCCAUCAUUUAAAGAAAGCGUAAUAGCUCACUGGUCGAGUCGGCCUGCGCGGAAGAUGUAACGGGGCUAAACCAUGCACCGAAGCUGCGGCAGCGACACUGUGUGUUGUUGGGUAGGGGAGCGUUCUGUAAGCCUGUGAAGGUGUGUCGUGAGGCAUGCUGGAGGUAUCAGAAGUGCGAAUGCUGACAUAAGUAACGAUAAAGCGGGUGAAAAGCCCGCUCGCCGGAAGACCAAGGGUUCCUGUCCAACGUUAAUCGGGGCAGGGUGAGUCGACCCCUAAGGCGAGGCCGAAAGGCGUAGUCGAUGGGAAACGGGUUAAUAUUCCCGUACUUGGUGUUACUGCGAAGGGGGGACGGAGAAGGCUAUGUUGGCCGGGCGACGGUUGUCCCGGUUUAAGCGUGUAGGUGUGUGUUCCAGGUAAAUCCGGUUCACUUUAACACUGAGGCGUGACGACGAGGCACUACGGUGCUGAAGCAACAAAUGCCCUGCUUCCAGGAAAAGCCUCUAAGCAUCAGGUAACAUCAAAUCGUACCCCAAACCGACACAGGUGGUCAGGUAGAGAAUACCAAGGCGCUUGAGAGAACUCGGGUGAAGGAACUAGGCAAAAUGGUGCCGUAACUUCGGGAGAAGGCACGCUGACACGUAGGUGAAGUGAUUUACUCAUGGAGCUGAAGUCAGUCGAAGAUACCAGCUGGCUGCAACUGUUUAUUAAAAACACAGCACUGUGCAAACACGAAAGUGGACGUAUACGGUGUGACGCCUGCCCGGUGCCGGAAGGUUAAUUGAUGGGGUCAGCGCAAGCGAAGCUCCUGAUCGAAGCCCCGGUAAACGGCGGCCGUAACUAUAACGGUCCUAAGGUAGCGAAAUUCCUUGUCGGGUAAGUUCCGACCUGCACGAAUGGCGUAAUGAUGGCCAGGCUGUCUCCACCCGAGACUCAGUGAAAUUGAACUCGCUGUGAAGAUGCAGUGUACCCGCGGCAAGACGGAAAGACCCCGUGAACCUUUACUAUAGCUUGACACUGAACAUUGAGCCUUGAUGUGUAGGAUAGGUGGGAGGCUUUGAAGUGUGGACGCCAGUCUGCAUGGAGCCGACCUUGAAAUACCACCCUUUAAUGUUUGAUGUUCUAACGUGGACCCGUUACCCGGGUUGCGGACAGUGUCUGGUGGGUAGUUUGACUGGGGCGGUCUCCUCCUAAAGAGUAACGGAGGAGCACGAAGGUUGGCUAAUCCUGGUCGGACAUCAGGAGGUUAGUGCAAUGGCAUAAGCCAGCUUGACUGCGAGCGUGACGGCGCGAGCAGGUGCGAAAGCAGGUCAUAGUGAUCCGGUGGUUCUGAAUGGAAGGGCCAUCGCUCAACGGAUAAAAGGUACUCCGGGGAUAACAGGCUGAUACCGCCCAAGAGUUCAUAUCGACGGCGGUGUUUGGCACCUCGAUGUCGGCUCAUCACAUCCUGGGGCUGAAGUAGGUCCCAAGGGUAUGGCUGUUCGCCAUUUAAAGUGGUACGCGAGCUGGGUUUAGAACGUCGUGAGACAGUUCGGUCCCUAUCUGCCGUGGGCGCUGGAGAACUGAGGGGGGCUGCUCCUAGUACGAGAGGACCGGAGUGGACGCAUCACUGGUGUUCGGGUUGUCAUGCCAAUGGCACUGCCCGGUAGCUAAAUGCGGAAGAGAUAAGUGCUGAAAGCAUCUAAGCACGAAACUUGCCCCGAGAUGAGUUCUCCCUGAGACUUAGAGUCUCCUGAAGGAACGUUGAAGACGACGACGUUGAUAGGCCGGGUGUGUAAGCGCAGCGAUGCGUUGAGCUAACCGGUACUAAUGAACCGUGAGGCUUAACCUUACAACGCCGAAG